AAUCGUAUAAACUUGUUAAUUUAUUACAAAAUGUCCACUCACAGGAAAACACAAGAAAACUUUUUUAUAUUUUUAUAUUUGGGAAAAAGAACUGGCGUCUCAGAUACAAAAUAAUUUACACAUAAUCCAUACAAUUUUAUUUUAUAUAGAAAUAGGUCAUUAUUACAACAGCUGUACAAUUCGCUCACUUCUUCUUAUAAUUACAUAAAAAUCUUUCCUUUAGAAACAUCCCAACGUAACAAAACAUACAAAAAAAGCAAAGUGCAUUUGAAAAGGAAAAACCCAAUUCUUGGAAUCAUCAUGAAGAAUAAGUAGAGAUGCAGCAUCUUCACUUAAGGGGGGCUCCGGUCCUGCACCCCUGGGGUGAGGGCCUGGCCUGGGAAACCUCUUCCCUCUUAAGAGUUCUCUACAGAAUUUUGCAUUAGCUGCAAGACUGUGCUUUGCUUGGAGUUCACCUUUGUGGUUGCAGUCAACAAAGUAAACAGGAAAUUGUCCAGUGUCAUGUGUAGGGGUCCUGGGGCGGGGCUUUGGAGAGUGCGGUCCCUCGGGGUGGGGGCUGCAGAGGGAAUGGUCUAAGGCUCCGUUAGGAACAAGCAACCUUGCUGUCUGAUUGGCAGGCCAUUUUUAUCACUGUGGGCUCCCAAUAAAGGCAUGAGACCUUAUUAUUUUUAAGAACAGAAAGUGCCUAAGUUACUUCCUCGGUGCAGCUGUGCAAAUUAAAGCAAAACAAAAACAACCAUUUAAAAAUAAUGAAAAAUAAUCUUUUUAUUCUCUCUCUGCAACAGAUCAUGGACCCAGUCCUUCUCCAAUGCAAAGGAAAGACCACUGAGACUGAAGGCCAGCUGGGGCGUGGGGACAGGGCCACUCUGUGGAGUAACCAGUGCACUCUCCAAGGAGAUGACCAGGCUGCUAUCUCCGCAGGUCCGGGCUGUGCCCCAAGACUGGCAGAUCUGCAAAGCUGAAGCUAGAGCUGAGCCUGCCCACAGUGGGGGGCUGGGAGGCUGGCGAGUGACUGAACAGGUGGCUCCAGACUUUGGAGGAAGUCACAGCCCACACCCGAGAGGGUGACGCUCUCCAUCUCCGUCCACGGUCCUCAGAUGGCCCCUGGCCCUGCUGGAGCAGGAAGUCCUGGGCACAAGAAGCUGAAGGGGCAGCUUCGGCGGGCCCUGGCUCCCAUCUGAAUUUCAGACUGAGGGCUCCCACCCUCCUCCCUUCUAAUGUGUUUGACACCUUUGUGAAAUAAUUUUUGCCCCAUAAGUAGUAAACAUUGCUCCAUAUUUCUGGGCAAGGUCCAAUGUCACACAGCAUUGCAUUUAUUAAAUGCAAUGGGUAUUUAAAUGUGAUUUGAAUUCAUAUUUGUGUAAGACUUUUCUUGUUAUUUACUUAUUUUUAGUUGUUGAGACAGGGUCUCACUAUGUAGCUCAGGCUGGCCUUGAACUCAUUAUGUAGCCCAGGCUGGUGUCAAGCUUUCGGUGAUCCUCUUGUCUCAGCUUCCUGAGUACUGGGAUUACAGCUGUGUUGGGACUAUGCCUGACCUUUGUUUUUCAUUUCUGAGACAGAGUCUCAUUUCAUUGCCCAAGCUAAUCUUAAACGUUUUUUUUUUUGUUUUUGUUUUUGUUUUUUUUUUUUUUUUUAAAGACAGGGUUUCCCUAUUUACUUCAGGCUGGCUUUAAACUCACUAUGUAGCCCAGGUUGGCCACAAAUUGGUAUUGAUCCUCCUGCCUCAGCCUCCUAAGUGUUCAGAUUACAGGUGUACACUAUGGUGCCGCCUUAAAUUUGUGAUUCUCCUGCCACAGCCUCCUGCAUUUCUGGGGUUACAGGUAUAACCCCGGUUGUGUAAAACUUUAUAAUGUACCACAAAGGCCAGCCAUAGCCGUCACUAAGGUUUGUUCCUGCUCUAAUAAACAUGACGGAGCAAGGCGCAAGGGUAGGAACGUGACUUCCUCCAAAGGACCUCAAGAGACCAGGGCUGCAUCUUCGUCUCUCCGGCUCCAGAUGCGGGGGUUUAAAAGCCUCAGGUGUCAAAAGCAAUUGAGCCCUGGACAGAAUCUGUCAGGCCGACUGACCUGGACAGCAGGAGGGGACCUGGCCUUGCUCUGAGCCCCCCUCCCGGCCCCCAGGUCCCGAUCGAUGCCCACCUGCAGGUAGCGAGGUGGUGGCUGCUGUUGCUGCGGGCCUGGCUGGGAGGCGGGGAAGCUGGGGUGUAGCACUGCCUGCCCCAUCAGCAGGACAGGUGUUGUGGUGCUGCUGCUGGUCGGGUGCGAGUCCAGACUUGGGAACACGGACUGGCUCGGUGCAAACCUGCUCGUUUCACGAGGAGAGAGGAAAACAGAGCCUUUAGGAGACCAUCGUUGAUGUGACACCAGAAGCACAGGAAAUGACACAAAUCGGUAAAAUGGCACAGAAAAUUUUGCACAUGGAGGACGCUGUUAGCACAGGGGAAGGGUGGCCCAUGGGCUGGGAGGAGACAUUUGCAAAUCCUCUGUCUGCAGAGGCGGGUGCUGGGGACCUGUUGAGCAUUCUCCCAGCUCCAUCAUUCCCA
Cavia porcellus (domestic guinea pig) is the source of this 2542-nucleotide long non-coding RNA. The record is from Ensembl. NCBI's taxonomy places the organism in Eukaryota, Metazoa, Chordata, Mammalia, Rodentia, Caviidae.